RNAcentral lists this long non-coding RNA (874 nucleotides) under Homo sapiens (human). RNAcentral's name for it is "non-protein coding lnc-HAO1-6:1". The record is from RNAcentral. Lineage: Eukaryota; Metazoa; Chordata; Mammalia; Primates; Hominidae.
CUAAAAAAAAUACAAAAAUUAGCCCAGCAUGGUGGCAGGAGAAUUGCUUGAACCUGGGAGGCGGAUGUUGCAGUGUGGAAAUAACAUGAUAUCUGGAUUAUAACAUUAUAACAUGACUUAAUUUCCAAAGACAAGAGCAGGCUCCAGAGAUCAGACUAAAAAGAUUCUUUUCUCUUCUUUUCUCUUCUCUUCUCUUCUCUUCUCUUCUCUUCUCUUUGUCUCCCUCUCUCUCCCUCCCUCCCUCCUUGAGACUAUGAGACUCCUAGGAUAGGGAGAGCACUGACUUCCCCUACCUUUCUUCAGCACUAGGACACAUCUAAGAGUUGUAGCCCUGGCCGGGCACAGUGGCUCACGCCUGUAAUCCCAGCACUUUGGGAGGCCGAGGCAGGCGGAACAUGAGGUCAAGAGAUCGAGACCAUCCUGGCCAACAAGGUGAAACCCCAUCUCUACUAAAAAUACAAAAAUUAGCUGGGCAUGAUGGCACACGCCUGUAGUCCAGCAACCCAGAUUACUCUGGGUAAUCAAAAUCAAUCAUUCCAGCCAGUAGAUUAGCUCCCUUUUAGCUCCUUUUUUUGUUAGUUUGCUUAUUUGUUUAGUGGUGGAGGGAGCCCAAAGUGACCAGAUCAAAACUUCAUCUUUCAAUUUGAUGAAGUCAUUGCUAUGGACCUAUCAUGUCCCCCAGGGGAAGCAUUCUCCGUGAUGGAAGAGAGCCAAUUCAAUCAACCUGCCGCUAGGUGGCAGGGUGGUCCCCAGGGAAUGGUGCCACAAUGGAAACUGUUGAUAUCCAAAAUUGGCAGAUAGACAAAUGGGACUUAAUUAAACUAAAAAGCUUCUGCAUAGAAAAAGGAAUACAAACAGGCAACCCUCGGAAUGG